AAAAGACCUAGCGGAGAAGUUAGCAGCUGCAGCCGGUGUCAUUAUUGAGUGCUUACUAGUGCCCGGCCCUUUGAAAAUCGCUCGCUUGGUACUUAAUUCUCACACUAAUUUGGUAAGAUGAAGAAACUGCUCAGAUUUGGCCAAGAUCACAUAACUAGGUGGGGAGUUGGAGCCCACUAUGACUGACUCCAAAUUAAUAUAGUGGUUGUAGCCACUUGUAUAGUAAUGGUAAAGGCUUCAUUUUUACUUUGUUGUAUGGGUAAACUCAUGAGGGAAGGAGACAGCACAUCCUUAGACAUGACAGGAAGGAUUAGAAAAAGAAACAGAAGAAAAGUAGAAAAAGUAAAAUGCCCUCAUUAAUUUUAAAGGAUUUAAAAAUAAAGCAGAAACAAAUGGACUAGGAAAUAAAUUGAUCCCAAUAAUAGCUGGUAUUUGAAAAAAAAAAAAACAAUAAA
Myotis daubentonii (Daubenton's bat) is the source of this 455-nucleotide long non-coding RNA. RefSeq lists it as uncharacterized. Lineage: Eukaryota; Metazoa; Chordata; Mammalia; Chiroptera; Vespertilionidae. The record is from RefSeq and is a predicted model, not a curated record. The transcript has 2 exons.